This 73-nucleotide transfer RNA is filed under the name Anaerolineales bacterium. RNAcentral's name for it is "tRNA-Lys". It matches the Rfam family "tRNA". Rfam says of the family: Transfer RNA (tRNA) molecules are approximately 80 nucleotides in length. Lineage: Bacteria; Bacillati; Chloroflexota; Anaerolineae; Anaerolineales. The record is from RNAcentral.
GGCCCGUUAGCUCAAUUGGCAGAGCAACUGACUCUUAAUCAGUGGGUUGCAGGUUCGAUUCCUGCACGGGUCA